AUAUCAAUAAGCGGAGGAAAAGAAACCAACAGGGAUUGCCCUAGUAACGGCGAGUGAAGCGGCAUCAGCUCAAAUUUGAAAUCUGGCGCUUUCAGCGUCCGAGUUGUAAUUUGCAGAGGAAGUUUUGGCGUUGGCAGCGGUCCAAGUUCCUUGGAACAGGUCGUCACAGAGGGUGAGAAUCCCGUACGUGGCCGCAGGUCUUCGCCGUGUAAAACUCCUUCGACGAGUCGAGUUGUUUGGGAAUGCAGCUCUAAAUGGGAGGUAAAUUUCUUCUAAAGCUAAAUACUGGCCAGAGACCGAUAGCGCACAAGUAGAGUGAUCGAAAGAUGAAAAGCACUUUGGAAAGAGAGUCAAACAGCAC
This 361-nucleotide ribosomal RNA is filed under the name uncultured fungus. RNAcentral's name for it is "eukaryotic LSU rRNA". It matches the Rfam family "Eukaryotic large subunit ribosomal RNA", at positions 40 to 398 of the family's 3401-position model. Lineage: Eukaryota; Fungi. The record is from RNAcentral.